AAAUGAGGUUAAUUGUGUAUCACUGAAUUGUAUGAUUUUUUCAGGAUCAGCUGAGAUGUUAUUUCACUGGAUUAUUUAAUGGAUAGGCUUAUUGGGCAUAUAGUUGGAUAUCUCUGUCAUCAACAUGGAAGAUAUGUUUUGUUCCUUACCAUCUAUAAUCCAUUCUCUAUGAAGUUCAGACUGUCUGCUCUUCCUUUGGAAAUACACAGUUAGUCAACCAACAUAGAAACACACAAAACUUGAAGGAUUCUCUAGUGAGGGCUUAUGGAAAUGAUCUAUGUCUACUCUCAGAAUGGUGAAAGACUAUCAGUUUAUGCAAAGACAAACAGAAUAUCCUCUCUUGGAACACUGAAACAAGAAAAUCAAACAGGAGAUGGAUGGAGGAUUUAAGAAGCACAUAGAUAAAUAUAAUUUCCAACGAAUUUAACCAGUAUUAUCAUAGACUGUGGUUUACAGAAUGACAAAGUAACAGGAUUGUAUCUUUUUACUGUCAGACACUGACUAUGGAUAAGAUGUACCCAUUUAUUAAACUGAGAUCUAGUCAAAUCAAGUACAAUUGUAUUGAAAAUAUGAUUUUCUGAUAGCAUGAACUCUUUAAAAAUUUAUUCUCACCAACUUUAAAG
Molecule: long non-coding RNA, 623 nt
Organism: Saccostrea cuccullata (small rock oyster)
Lineage: Eukaryota; Metazoa; Mollusca; Bivalvia; Ostreida; Ostreidae
Exons: 3
Source: RefSeq, a predicted model, not a curated record